GAUGAAAUUGCACUGAACAGGGAAGGGGGGUCAGCGGCCAACCUCCCUGCAGCUGGGCAAGAGCCAGGAAGAAGCAAGAAUGGCACAGAUGUGAUCGAAAGGCCCUCGGGGAGACCCGCUCUGCCACUGCGCCCACCACUCGUGACCACAGCUUGCUCCACGCCAGACCUCACGCGUUCCACCCAGUGCACGAGCGUGGCUUGCGACAGCUACCGUAAGGAGCCGGGGAGUUACCCACACGAGGAGGAACCAGCAUUCCCAGUCUCCCGGGUUGCCUUUUUGGAAAGACCUCUACAUUGUCCAGUCCCUGUAAUUUCUCUGCUCCACGUCUAACUGGUUUCCUGCGGGCUGCAGCGGGCUGAACUAGAUGAUCCUCGUGGCCCCUUCCAGCUCCAUAAUUAAAUGAAGGUGAAGCAUUGGAGCCAAAAGAUCUCGAUGGCA
Non-coding RNA from Python bivittatus (Burmese python), 441 nucleotides. Lineage: Eukaryota; Metazoa; Chordata; Lepidosauria; Squamata; Pythonidae. The record is from RefSeq and is a predicted model, not a curated record.